UUUAGUGGCGAACGGGUGAGUAACACGUAAGCAACCUGCCUUUAAGACGAGAAUAACAAUUGGAAACAGUUGCUAAGGCUGGAUAGGAAAUAAAAAGGCAUCUUUUUAUUUUUAAAAGACCUUUUUCGGAAGGUAUGCUUAAAGAGGGGCUUGCGUCACAUUAGUUAGUUGGUAGGGUAAAGGCCUACCAAGACGAUGAUGUGUAGCUGGACUGAGAGGUUGAACAGCCACAUUGGGACUGAGACACGGCCCAAACUCCUACGGGAGGCAGCAGUAGGGAAUUUUCGGCAAUGGAGGAAACUCUGACCGAGCAACGCCGCGUGAACGACGAAGUACAUCGGUAUGUAAAGUUCUUUUAUUGAAGAAGAAACAAUAGUGGAAAAACUAUCUUGACGUUAUUCAAUGAAUAAGCCCCGGCUAACUAUGUGCCAGCAGCCGCGGUAAUACAUAGGGGGCGAGCGUUAUCCGGAAUUAUUGGGCGUAAAGGGUGCGUAGGCGGUUUAAUAAGUCUCUAGUUUAAUUUCAACGCUUAACGUUGUCCUGCUAGAGAAACUGUUUAACUAGAGUGAGAUAGAGGUAAGCGGAAUUCCAUGUGUAGCGGUAAAAUGUGUAAAUAUAAGGAGGAACACCAGAGGCGUAGGCGGCUUACUGGGUCUUUACUGACGCUGAUGCACGAAAGCGUGGGGAGCAAACAGGGAUUAGAUACCCUGGUAGUCCACGCCGUAAACUAUGAGUACUAAGUGUCGGGGUUAAACUCGGUUACUGAAGUAACACAUUAAGUACUCCGCCUGAGUAGUACGUACGCAAGUAUGAAACUUAAAGGAAUUGACGGGAUCCCGCACAAGCGGUGGAUCAUGUUGUUUAAUUCGAAGAUACACGAAAAACCUUACCAGGUCUUGACAUACUCUUGCAAAGCUAUAGAAAUAUAGUGGAGGUUAUCAGGGAUACAGGUGGUGCAUGGUUGUCGUCAGCCGUGUCGUGAGAUGUUAGGUUAAGUUCUAAAACGAGCGCAACCCCUGUCGUUAAUUGCCAGCACGUUAUGGUGGGGACUUUAGCGAGACUGCCAAUGAAAAAUUGGAGGAAGGUGGGGAUUACGUCAAAUCAUCAUGCCCCUUAUGAUCUGGGCUACAAACGUGAUACAAUGGCUAUUACAAAGAGUAGCUGAAACGCGAGUUUUUGGCAAAUCUCAAAAAAAUAGUCUCAGUUCGGAUUGAAGUCUGCAACUCGACUUCAUGAAGUUGGAAUCGCUAGUAAUCGCGAAUCAGCAUGUCGCGGUGAAUACGUUCUCGGGGUUUGUACACACCGCCCGUCAAACCACGAAAGUGGACAAUACCCGAA
RNAcentral lists this ribosomal RNA (1338 nucleotides) under Coconut lethal yellowing phytoplasma. RNAcentral's name for it is "16S ribosomal RNA". It matches the Rfam family "Bacterial small subunit ribosomal RNA", at positions 91 to 1425 of the family's 1533-position model. The record is from RNAcentral. Lineage: Bacteria; Bacillati; Mycoplasmatota; Mollicutes; Acholeplasmatales; Acholeplasmataceae.